Artibeus jamaicensis (Jamaican fruit-eating bat) is the source of this 601-nucleotide long non-coding RNA. RefSeq lists it as uncharacterized. The record is from RefSeq and is a predicted model, not a curated record. NCBI's taxonomy places the organism in Eukaryota, Metazoa, Chordata, Mammalia, Chiroptera, Phyllostomidae. The transcript is spliced from 2 exons.
GCCAGCGCCCCGGAGAGAGCGUGCACUUAAGCGCAAGUCAACACGUGUAAGAAUAGUCUUUGCGCCCCGUCUUGGAGGAGCGACACGUUGGAGAAACACAAGCCGCCCGUCAUCAGAAGGAUGGACCUUGGGAAAUACAGCAUGUCCACGUCUUUGCAAAGGAGAGAACUUGAGCUUCAUGUCGCAACGCGGAAGACACUCACAAACCGGGCGCUGCGCUAAUGAGGACAAAGGCAGCUGCAGAAGGUAGAUGGAGAGGAUGAAACGUGCUUCCUGCACAGGUGCGCUUGUGCCAUCGGAACUGCCGGAGGAGUAUUGUUUAAUAAUAGUAACAUCGUGAAGUGCUCUCUCUUCCAGGUGCCGAGUUUACACCUGUCUUCUAUUAUCUGAUUUAACAACACUUAUUCGACGUAAAUGUGAAUAAACCAAGAAACACCGCGGUGUGACAAAGAGAAAAGAACUUGACCUGCAAAGAUGGGAGGGACACACUCUCAUAGGCUCGUUGAAAAUCUUUAUCUUCGCAGACAAAAGAAAUCGAUUUAAUGUUACCGCUUUUUUUUCCCCGUUUCACAAAUGUUUCAAAAAUAUUUUUUCCAAUUAC